Molecule: ribosomal RNA, 247 nt
Filed under: uncultured bacterium
Lineage: Bacteria
Description: partial 16S ribosomal RNA
Rfam family: Bacterial small subunit ribosomal RNA
Source: RNAcentral
AUACGUAGGUGGCAAGCGUUGUCCGGAAUUACUGGGCGUAAAGGGCGUGUAGGUGGACUGAUCAGUCGGGUGUGAAAUAUCCGGGCUUAACCCGGAGGGUGCAUCCGAUACGGUCAGUCUUGAGUGCAGGAGAGGGCAGUGGAAUUCCUAGUGUAGCGGUGAAAUGUGUAGAUAUUAGGAGGAACACCAGUAGCGAAGGCGGCUUUCUGGACUGUAACUGACACUGAGGCACGAAAGCGUGGGGAGC